Molecule: ribosomal RNA, 490 nt
Filed under: uncultured bacterium
Lineage: Bacteria
Description: partial 16S ribosomal RNA
Rfam family: Bacterial small subunit ribosomal RNA
Source: RNAcentral
GAUGAACGCUAGCUACAGGCUUAACGCAUGCAAGUCGCGGGGCAGCAUGGGGGUUGCUUGCAAUCCCCGAUGGCGACUGGCGCACGGGUGAGUAACGCGUAUCCAACCUGCCCUUCACCACGGGAUAACCCGGCGAAAGUCGGACUAAUACCGUAUGUUGUCCAUUGACGGCAUCCGAUUUGGACGAAAGGUUUGGCGGUGAAGGAUGGGGAUGCGUCCGAUUAGCUGGACGGCGGGGUGACGGCCCACCGUGGCGACGAUCGGUAGGGGUUCUGAGAGGGAGGUCCCCCACACUGGAACUGAGACACGGUCCAGACUCCUACGGGAGGCAGGCGUGAGGAAUAUUGAUCAAUGGGCGUAAGCCUGAACCAGCCAAGUAGCGUGCAGGAUGACGGCCCUAUGGGUUGUAAACUGCUUUUAUGCGGGGAUAAAGUGGCCCACGUGUGGGUUUUUGCAGGUACCGCAUGAAUAAGGACCGGCUAAUUCCGUG